Molecule: long non-coding RNA, 590 nt
Organism: Armigeres subalbatus
Lineage: Eukaryota; Metazoa; Arthropoda; Insecta; Diptera; Culicidae
Exons: 3
Source: RefSeq, a predicted model, not a curated record
UCAAAUCACCAUUAUGUUUUAUGUGCGGUAAUCAUAUAAAAUUGGCUCGACUGGCUUCAGCUCCAUUCUAUUUGAAGCAUUUGAAUUUUAUUUGUGGACAUUGAUUUUCAAAAACUGAAUUCUUACAAUAUAAUGGUGAUAUAUUUAAACUUUAUUUGAUCUGACAGUAAAUUUUAUAUGCAGCGACAUAUAGCUGAUAAAUAUUAUUACCGGCACAUAAAAUACAAAUGCGCACAAUGAAAAGCCUAUUUAUGCUUAUAUCAAAAUGGCUACUUGGCGACGGCUCAGAAAAACUGUGGAUCCAUACACAAAACAAGCAUAUAAUUUCUUCAUCCGACGUAUACAAGAAGGACUGAUGCAAUGGACACAAUUUAGAAAGUGUCGAAUGGAAAUGCGGACCGCUUGAGCGAUACACGAGCAAGCGCCGAUAAAACGGAGAACCGAACAUUUUUACCCGCUUCGUCUCGGAGUACAACCAGUUCAGAUGCCCAAGGCAGUUCCUGACAGCAUACAGACGAUACGGUCGAUGUUGUGAAUAGUGCUGCAGCAAGGCAUCAAGCUGGCAUCAAACCCAGGGAAUUAUUAUUUCU